CCAUUUAAUACGACAUCUCACAGGUUGGCUGGUUCUGUUUCGUUUCUGUAUCCCCCUUCCUCUGAUGCUUAUCGAACAAUGGCGGCCUUGGCGACGGCCGACGGAUGGUGGGACUGGAUCCGGUCGACAGGUUCGCUGUCCCAACCAUGUACGGCGGUGUGUUCUGAGUGGUAACCCAGCCGACACUAGAUCUGGUUGAAGCGGACGACAAGUGCAGAAUGGGAGGAGCCGUGGAUGUGUUCGCGCCUCUCCAACUGAAUCUGAACACGCUGUGCGAUAUGAGCAGCUUAUCGCCGCCGGACUCUGAACAGUCCACGAGCAAGGACGACCCGCAAGCUCCUGGUUGGACAUGGAGACAAAAGCUAUGUGAUGCAGGGUGCUUGUUGGACAGGCUCCUGCGCCAUGUUCGGGUAGAGUUUGUGCCCUUGAGAAGACAAUCAGGGGGUUAGCUGAGAAGAAGACUGACACUGUUGUUGGAAGUUCGUUUGACUCAUUAUUAGGCGAGGUGACUACUAGAAUUUGUACUCCUGGGUAUGUUGGAUGUUAAUUGGUACGGUGAGAGCAAGAGCAAGGUUAACUUUGAAAAGACAAAGUGCAUACAGGGGAUAGUAUGUGGGUGCUCGUUAUGGCCUAACUUCGUUCGGUUAAACAUUGUGUUCGCUCACUAGCUGGAAAAAAAAGUUGUGCUAAAACUUUUUAUCAAAAAAAAGUUGUGCUAAACUGGUUUAUAAUUACUGGGUAAGCCAAAAAGGACCAACACAAGAUCAUGCCAGCGAUGAUUCGUCUACUCAGCUCGGAGGACAACAACUGAUACAUAAGCGAGCACAGGGCCAAGCCAUCGCAGUUCAAGGACGACAAGUUAAAGUUAUGUGUGUUUGCUCGGGAAGCCGAAGAAGUUGAACACUCGAUCUUGCGAUGUGAGUGCCUGGCAGUGAUAAGGCUACUGAUUUACAAUGCGAGUUACUAGUUGUCCGUGCAAUUUGUACAAUUUGAUUUUCUCUUGUAAGCUAGGAUUUUCCUAAACCUGUAUACAUUUUACGUAAACAUGUGUUAGCGGGAAAAUAAACCAAUCAGUGGCAAUCGGUGUCGCGAGUGUAUUGCGACAAAUGACGAUUGUCGUCGAGGUCUGUUGUGUUCUCUGAAUCAAACUUUCUAUUUGUUCCCUGA
Triticum aestivum (bread wheat) is the source of this 1167-nucleotide long non-coding RNA. RefSeq lists it as uncharacterized. NCBI's taxonomy places the organism in Eukaryota, Viridiplantae, Streptophyta, Magnoliopsida, Poales, Poaceae. The transcript is spliced from 4 exons. The record is from RefSeq and is a predicted model, not a curated record.